AGAAUCAACGCUGGCGGCGUGCCUAACACAUGCAAGUCGAACGAGAAAGUGGAGCAAUCCAUGAGUAAAGUGGCGACCGGGUGAGUAACACGUGACUAACCUACCCUAAAGUGGGGAAUAACUCCGGGAAACCGGGGCUAAUACCGCAUAACAUCGGUGCUUCUCAAGAAGCGACGAUCAAAGCAGCAAUGCGCUAUGGGAGGGGUCGCGGCUGAUUAGCUAGUUGGCGGGGUAACGGCCCACCAAGGCGAAGAUCGGUA
Molecule: ribosomal RNA, 260 nt
Filed under: uncultured bacterium
Lineage: Bacteria
Description: partial small subunit ribosomal RNA
Rfam family: Bacterial small subunit ribosomal RNA
Source: RNAcentral